RNAcentral lists this ribosomal RNA (249 nucleotides) under uncultured bacterium. RNAcentral's name for it is "partial 16S ribosomal RNA". It matches the Rfam family "Bacterial small subunit ribosomal RNA", at positions 524 to 763 of the family's 1533-position model. The record is from RNAcentral.
UACGGAGGGUGCGAGCGUUGUCCGGAAUCACUGGGCGUAAAGGGCGCGUAGGCGGCAUGCCAAGCGUGUGGUGAAAGCCCGGGGCUCAACCCCGGGUCGGCCGUCGAUACUGUUGGGCUUGAGCACUGUAGAGGCAGGUGGAAUUCCGGGUGUAGCGGUGGAAUGCGUAGAGAUCCGGAAGAACACCGGUGGCGAAGGCGGCGACUGGCUGGGCGUUAGCGACUGACGUGACGGCAGGACGAAAGCCGG